AUAUCAAUAAGCGGAGGAAAAGAAACCAACAGGGAUUGCCUCAGUAACGGCGAGUGAAGCGGCAAAAGCUCAAAUUUGAAAUCUAGUACCUUCGGUGCUCGAGUUGUAAUUUGAAGGUAGUUUUCUGGUGCUGGCCCUUGUCUAUGUUCCUUGGAACAGGACGUCAUAGAGGGUGAGAAUCCCGUCUGAUGGGGUGUCCAGUGCUUUGUAGAUUUCUACCGAAGAGUCGAGUUGUUUGGGAAUGCAGCUCUAAGUGGGUGGUAAAUUCCAUCUAAAGCUAAAUACUGGCGAGAGACCGAUAGCGAACAAGUACCGUGAGG
RNAcentral lists this ribosomal RNA (320 nucleotides) under uncultured yeast. Its description in RNAcentral is "partial large subunit ribosomal RNA". It matches the Rfam family "Eukaryotic large subunit ribosomal RNA", at positions 40 to 358 of the family's 3401-position model. The record is from RNAcentral. Lineage: Eukaryota; Fungi.